Termitomyces sp. Mi166#008 is the source of this 92-nucleotide non-coding RNA. The record is from the annotation of a GenBank genome assembly. Lineage: Eukaryota; Fungi; Basidiomycota; Agaricomycetes; Agaricales; Lyophyllaceae.
GGUGAGAUGGCCGAGCGGUCCAAGGCGCCAGACUAAGGUUCUGUCUUCAUCUGGUCUCUUCGGGGGCGGGAGUUCGAAUCUCCCUCUCAUCA